UUUUUCUUCAUAGCAUGAAUCAUCAUUUUUAGACACUUCACAUAGUCACUAUCACUCUUCUUAACCUCGGCCUCUUUGUAGAACCAUGUUAUCAAUGAAGGGAAAAACAAAUUUUUAGACUCCUCAAUAACCACAUUCUAAAUUUAUUGUACAAUAUUUUCCCUAAAAUUAACUUCAAGACCCUUCACAAUGGAGCAAAUAAU
This 203-nucleotide long non-coding RNA is filed under the name Capsicum annuum. RNAcentral describes it as "long non-coding RNA (CANN_LNC011487)". Lineage: Eukaryota; Viridiplantae; Streptophyta; Magnoliopsida; Solanales; Solanaceae. The record is from RNAcentral.